AUAUAUUGUAAAUAUAAUAAAAAAAAAAAAAAAAAAAAAAAAGUAUCUGUUCUUAUCAGUUUAAUAUCUGGUAGGCCAUUCUCUGAAUGGUCAGUAUAUUAAUCUGAUUUUUGGCCUUGGGUCAUGGAGGUGGAUUCAUUCACGCCGUGACCACGGGUUGCCUUGGUGUUGCACUAUUACCGAUGGCGGCCCACAUAAG
Molecule: small nuclear RNA, 199 nt
Organism: Hydractinia symbiolongicarpus
Lineage: Eukaryota; Metazoa; Cnidaria; Hydrozoa; Anthoathecata; Hydractiniidae
Product: U2 spliceosomal RNA
Exons: 1
Source: RefSeq, a predicted model, not a curated record